This 657-nucleotide long non-coding RNA is filed under the name Mytilus galloprovincialis (Mediterranean mussel). Lineage: Eukaryota; Metazoa; Mollusca; Bivalvia; Mytilida; Mytilidae. The record is from RNAcentral.
UGUUUUUCCCCAUAGGACCAAUGUUAAACAUUUCCCAAGUUUCCAUGGCAAUGGCAGCCAUUUUGAAAAUUCCAAGUACUGUUGGUACCUCAAGGCACCACUGCCAACAUUUACAUUAAGUUUCAAGAGGUUGCCUCUUAUAACGAAAGAUUUAAAAUUUUGAUUUUUUUUUACAUUUUUGCAGUUUCCAUUGUAACGGCGGCCAUUUUUUACCAUUCCAAUGUCUCUUGCACAACUUUACAUGGCGGUUCAUAUUAGGGUAUAGUUCCAUCAACAUGGGUCUGACCAGUUCCGAGAAAUAGCAUGGACAAAAUGUGUGGAAGAAUAAAAAUAAUAAAAAGAAAAAAAAGAAACGUACAAUAACAAGAUGUCACCCCAACUCCGUUGAGGGUGCCAUAAUAAAAAGAAAAAAAGAAACGAACAAUAACAAGAUGUCACCCCAACUCCGUUGAGGGUGCCAUAACUAGAUUUGUAAUUGCUAGCAAUAACGGAUGGCACCCUUGUCCCCCCAUUGCCAGGCAAGCGGCAGCCAUUUUGAAAAUUCCAAAGUCAAAGAGUGCAUCUACACAUGCAAGUUAUCAUUUUUGUAAAAUUUCAUUAAGUUUGGAGCAUAUUGAAAUUUUGGACAAUUUUGCUGUUUCCAUGGUUACGGCGGCC